GGAGCACGCCGCGUGAGUGAUGAAGGUUUUCGGAUCGUAAAGCUCUGUUGUUAGGGAAGAACAAGUGCGAGAGUAACUGCUCGCACCUUGACGGUACCUAACCAGAAAGCCACGGCUAACUACGUGCCAGCAGCCGCGGUAAUACGUAGGUGGCAAGCGUUGUCCGGAAUUAUUGGGCGUAAAGGGCUCGCAGGCGGUUUCUUAAGUCUGAUGUGAAAGCCCCCGGCUCAACCGGGGAGGGUCAUUGGAAACUGGGAAACUUGAGUGCAGAAGAGGAGAGUGGAAUUCCACGUGUAGCGGUGAAAUGCGUAGAGAUGUGGAGGAACACCAGUGGCGAAGGCGACUCUCUGGUCUGUAACUGACGCUGAGGAGCGAAAGCGUGGGGAGCGAACAGGAUUAGAUACCCUGGUAGUCCACGCCGUAAACGAUGAGUGCUAAGUGUUAGGGGGUUUCCGCCCCUUAGUGCUGCAGCUAACGCAUUAAGCACUCCGCCUGGGGAGUACGGUCGCAAGACUGAAACUCAAAGGAAUUGACGGGGGCCCGCACAAGCGGUGGAGCAUGUGGUUUAAUUCGAAGCAACGCGAAGAACCUUACCAGGUCUUGACAUCCUCUGACAACCCUAGAGAUAGG
Molecule: ribosomal RNA, 630 nt
Filed under: Bacillus sp. Se1Ps_2031
Lineage: Bacteria; Bacillati; Bacillota; Bacilli; Caryophanales; Bacillaceae
Description: bacterial SSU rRNA
Rfam family: Bacterial small subunit ribosomal RNA
Source: RNAcentral